GUUGUAAAGCACUUUAAGUGAGGAAGAAAAGAUUUAAAUUAAUACUUUAAAUCCCUGACAUUACUCACAGAAUAAGGACCGGCUAACUCCGUGCCAGCAGCCGCGGUAAUACGGAGGGUCCAAGCGUUAAUCGGAAUUACUGGGCGUAAAGCGCGCGUAGAUGGUUUAUUCAGUUGGGUGUGAAAUCCCUGGGCUCAACCUAGGAACUGCAUUCAAAACUUAUAAACUAGAGUACGAAAGAGGAGAGUAGAAUUCAUGGUGUAGCGGUGAAAUGCGUAGAGAUCAUGAGGAAUACCAGUGGCGAAGGCGACUCUCUGGUUCGAGACUGACAUUGAGGUGCGAAAGCGUGGGUAGCAAACAGGAUUAGAUACCCUGGUAGUCCACGCCGUAAACGAUGAGAACUAGCCGUUGGAUCUUUAGAUUCAGUGGCGCAGCUAACGCAUUAAGUUCUCCGCCUGGGGAGUACGGCCGCAAGGCUAAAACUCAAAUGAAUUGACGGGGGCCCGCACAAGCGGUGGAGCAUGUGGUUUAAUUCGAUGCAACGCGAAGAACCUUACCAACCCUUGACAUCCAGUGGAAGUUUUAGAGAUAAAACUGUGCCUUUGGGAACACUGUGACAGGUGUUGCAUGGCUGUCGUCAGCUCGUGUCGUGAGAUGUAUGGUUAAGUCCAGUAACGAGCGCAACCCUUAUCCUUAUUUGCCAGCACUUCGGGUGGGAACUAUAGGGAGACUGCCGUGAAUAACACGGAGGAAGGUGGGGACGACGUCAAGUCAUCAUGGCCCUUACGGGUUGGGCUACACACGUGCUACAAUGGGAGAUACAGAUGGUUGCGAAAGCGCGAGCUGGA
RNAcentral lists this ribosomal RNA (848 nucleotides) under marine metagenome. Its description in RNAcentral is "bacterial SSU rRNA". It matches the Rfam family "Bacterial small subunit ribosomal RNA", at positions 422 to 1266 of the family's 1533-position model. The record is from RNAcentral.